UGAGGAAUAUUGGACAAUGGGUGAGAGCCUGAUCCAGCCAUCCCGCGUGAAGGACGACGGCCCUAUGGGUUGUAAACUUCUUUUGUAUAGGGAUAAACCUACUCUCGUGAGAGUAGCUGAAGGUACUAUACGAAUAAGCACCGGCUAACUCCGUGCCAGCAGCCGCGGUAAUACGGAGGGUGCAAGCGUUAUCCGGAUUUAUUGGGUUUAAAGGGUCCGUAGGCGGAUCUGUAAGUCAGUGGUGAAAUCUCAUAGCUUAACUAUGAAACUGCCAUUGAUACUGCAGGUCUUGAGUAAAGUAGAAGUGGCUGGAAUAAGUAGUGUAGCGGUGAAAUGCAUAGAUAUUACUUAGAGCACCAAAUUGCGAAGG
This 370-nucleotide ribosomal RNA is filed under the name uncultured bacterium. RNAcentral's name for it is "partial 16S ribosomal RNA". It matches the Rfam family "Bacterial small subunit ribosomal RNA", at positions 355 to 721 of the family's 1533-position model. The record is from RNAcentral.